This 253-nucleotide ribosomal RNA is filed under the name uncultured bacterium. RNAcentral describes it as "partial 16S ribosomal RNA". It matches the Rfam family "Bacterial small subunit ribosomal RNA", at positions 524 to 776 of the family's 1533-position model. The record is from RNAcentral.
UACGGAGGAUGCAAGCGUUAUCCGGAAUGAUUGGGCGUAAAGCGUCCGCAGGUGGCUAUGUAAGUCUGCUGUUAAAGAGUGAGGCUCAACCUCAUAAGAGCAGUGGAAACUACAUGGCUAGAGUGCGUUCGGGGCAGAGGGAAUUCCUGGUGUAGCGGUGAAAUGCGUAGAUAUCAGGAAGAACACCGGUGGCGAAAGCGCUCUGCUAGGCCGCAACUGACACUGAGGGACGAAAGCUAGGGGAGCGAAUGGG